GGACCUGCGCGUCCGGAGCCUGUGGUCCGCAACGGGAGAGACCACAACGCUCCCCAGGGCACACUUGUUUGGAGCUAGAGGUGUGGGUGAUGGCAACACCAGGGUGUGCUUGGAUUAACUCUUUGGAUGUACUGCCCAGGUGUGUCAAGAAGUGAUUCCUCCCAGCCCCAAACACUUUUUUACAAAGAUAUUUAGGCCAGCUUAUUUCUUCCCCAUCCCCUCCAGUUGGGUUGUGUCAUUAAUUUGUAAUAAAUUUAGAUUCAUUUGUUAUAGUCUACAUUUAAUCUUUCUCCCUGCUGUCCUGGUUGAGUGUUUACAUUUUGCGAAUGGUAAAAUUCACUCUUUGUUGGUCUAGUCCUAUGAGUUUUAAAAAGUGCAGAGAGUUGUGUGUCCACCACCACAGUAACAUCAUCCUAGGAGUUACAUCACCCUAGUAAUUCAUUAUUUUUUAGUAGUAUUCCAUUGAAAAAAUAAAUCAUAAUUUAUUUAUUCAUUUACUUGUUGCUAGAUAUUAGGAUUCUUUCCAGGCUUGGCUCUUAUAGAUAUGGCUGCAGUGAAAUUCUUAUGCAAGCCUUUUUGUGGACACAGGUUUUUAGUUAUCUUGGUUAGAUACCUAGAAGUGGAGUUGCCAUAUCAUAAGGAAAGAGUAUGUUUAUUUUUUUAAAAAACCUACUAGGGCUUCCCUGGUGGCGCAGUG
Long non-coding RNA from Aethalodelphis obliquidens (Pacific white-sided dolphin), 697 nucleotides. RefSeq lists it as uncharacterized. The record is from RefSeq and is a predicted model, not a curated record. Lineage: Eukaryota; Metazoa; Chordata; Mammalia; Artiodactyla; Delphinidae. The transcript is spliced from 3 exons.